This 1260-nucleotide ribosomal RNA is filed under the name Enterococcus faecium. RNAcentral describes it as "bacterial SSU rRNA". It matches the Rfam family "Bacterial small subunit ribosomal RNA", at positions 187 to 1434 of the family's 1533-position model. Lineage: Bacteria; Bacillati; Bacillota; Bacilli; Lactobacillales; Enterococcaceae. The record is from RNAcentral.
CGCAUGGUUUUGAUUUGAAAGGCGCUUUCGGGUGUCGCUGAUGGAUGGACCCGCGGUGCAUUAGCUAGUUGGUGAGGUAACGGCUCACCAAGGCCACGAUGCAUAGCCGACCUGAGAGGGUGAUCGGCCACAUUGGGACUGAGACACGGCCCAAACUCCUACGGGAGGCAGCAGUAGGGAAUCUUCGGCAAUGGACGAAAGUCUGACCGAGCAACGCCGCGUGAGUGAAGAAGGUUUUCGGAUCGUAAAACUCUGUUGUUAGAGAAGAACAAGGAUGAGAGUAACUGUUCAUCCCUUGACGGUAUCUAACCAGAAAGCCACGGCUAACUACGUGCCAGCAGCCGCGGUAAUACGUAGGUGGCAAGCGUUGUCCGGAUUUAUUGGGCGUAAAGCGAGCGCAGGCGGUUUCUUAAGUCUGAUGUGAAAGCCCCCGGCUCAACCGGGGAGGGUCAUUGGAAACUGGGAGACUUGAGUGCAGAAGAGGAGAGUGGAAUUCCAUGUGUAGCGGUGAAAUGCGUAGAUAUAUGGAGGAACACCAGUGGCGAAGGCGGCUCUCUGGUCUGUAACUGACGCUGAGGCUCGAAAGCGUGGGGAGCAAACAGGAUUAGAUACCCUGGUAGUCCACGCCGUAAACGAUGAGUGCUAAGUGUUGGAGGGUUUCCGCCCUUCAGUGCUGCAGCUAACGCAUUAAGCACUCCGCCUGGGGAGUACGACCGCAAGGUUGAAACUCAAAGGAAUUGACGGGGGCCCGCACAAGCGGUGGAGCAUGUGGUUUAAUUCGAAGCAACGCGAAGAACCUUACCAGGUCUUGACAUCCUUUGACCACUCUAGAGAUAGAGCUUCCCCUUCGGGGGCAAAGUGACAGGUGGUGCAUGGUUGUCGUCAGCUCGUGUCGUGAGAUGUUGGGUUAAGUCCCGCAACGAGCGCAACCCUUAUUGUUAGUUGCCAUCAUUCAGUUGGGCACUCUAGCAAGACUGCCGGUGACAAACCGGAGGAAGGUGGGGAUGACGUCAAAUCAUCAUGCCCCUUAUGACCUGGGCUACACACGUGCUACAAUGGGAAGUACAACGAGUUGCGAAGUCGCGAGGCUAAGCUAAUCUCUUAAAGCUUCUCUCAGUUCGGAUUGCAGGCUGCAACUCGCCUGCAUGAAGCCGGAAUCGCUAGUAAUCGCGGAUCAGCACGCCGCGGUGAAUACGUUCCCGGGCCUUGUACACACCGCCCGUCACACCACGAGAGUUUGUAACACCCGAAGUCGGUGAG